UACGUAGGGUGCGAGCGUUAAUCGGAAUUACUGGGCGUAAAGCGUGCGCAGGCGGUUUUGUAAGCCCGAUGUGAAAUCCCCGGGCUUAACCUGGGAAUGGCAUUUGGGACUGCAAAGCUUGAGUGCGGCAGAGGGGACUGGAAUUCCUGGUGUAGCAGUGAAAUGCGUAGAGAUCAGGAGGAAUACCGAUGGCGAAGGCAGGUCCCUGGGCUGACACUGACGCUCAUGCACGAAAGCGUGGGGAGCAAACAGG
RNAcentral lists this ribosomal RNA (253 nucleotides) under uncultured bacterium. RNAcentral's name for it is "partial 16S ribosomal RNA". It matches the Rfam family "Bacterial small subunit ribosomal RNA", at positions 524 to 776 of the family's 1533-position model. The record is from RNAcentral.